AGCGAACGCUGGCGGCAGGCCUAAUACAUGCAAGUCGAACGGCUCUUCGGAGCAGUGGCGGACGGGUGAGUAACACGUGGGAACGUGCCCUUUGGUACGGAACAACUGAGGGAAACUUCAGCUAAUACCGUAUGUGCCCCCAUUCUUAGCGGGAUGGGUGGGAAAGAUUUAUCGCCAUUGGAGCGGCCCGCGUUGGAUUAGCUAGUCGGUGGGGUAAAGGCCCACCAAGGCUACGAUCCAUAGCUGGUCUGAGAGGAUGAUCGGCCACACUGGGACGGAGACACGGCCCAGACUCCUACGGGAGGCAGCAGUAGGGAAUCUUGCGCAAUGGGCGAAAGCCUGACGCAGCCAUGCCGCGUGAAUGAUGAAGGUCUUAGGAUUGUAAAAUUCUUUCACCGGGGAAGAUAAUGACGGUACCCGGAGAAGAAGCCCCGGCUAACUUCGUGCCAGCAGCCGCCGUAA
RNAcentral lists this ribosomal RNA (462 nucleotides) under uncultured bacterium. Its description in RNAcentral is "partial 16S ribosomal RNA". It matches the Rfam family "Bacterial small subunit ribosomal RNA", at positions 29 to 523 of the family's 1533-position model. The record is from RNAcentral.